Pangasianodon gigas (Mekong giant catfish) is the source of this 71-nucleotide non-coding RNA. Lineage: Eukaryota; Metazoa; Chordata; Actinopteri; Siluriformes; Pangasiidae. The record is from the annotation of a GenBank genome assembly.
AUUGCUCUAGCUCAGUGGUAGAGCAUUUGACUGCAGAUCAAGCAGUUCCCAGUUCAAAUUGGGGUGCCUCU